AGGCCAGAUGGCAACUCCAGCGACUGGGGCUGGCAAGCUUUUGCUUUCGAGUUCCGGGAACCAGCCUUUUCUCACGCGCCUCCUGAGACACCUGCCCCGGCGGGCUCCGCCUCGCUCGCCGCGCCUCCUGCUCGUUUCCUUCGCCCGGGGUAGAGUCGGACGGCGAGGGCUGAGGACGGAAGGAGGGGACGGGCAAGGAGGGGAGGAGCAGAGCCGAGGGCGGGAGUCAGUGCCGAGCCGAAGAUCGCUGAGUGGGACGGAGCCGCGGCAUUUGUCGCGGGCACCUUGGCAGGGAACGCAGCGCGCGGCGGCGGCGGCGGCGGCAGCGCGAGGUGGCGAAGGGGUAAUCUCGGCCCGGGCGCGCCCCGCUCCCCCUGAAUGACGGGCGGCAGGUUCGACUUCGACGAUGGCGGCACCUAUUGCGGCGGCUGGGAGGACGGCAAAGCCCACGGGCACGGCAUUUGCACCGGGCCCAAAGGGCAGGGCGAGUACGCGGGUUCGUGGGCGCACGGCUUCGAGGUGGUGGGUACUUACACCUGGCCCAGCGGCAACACCUACCACGGGUAUUGGGCGCAGGGCAAACGCCACGGGCUGGGCGUGGAGACGAAGGGCAAAUGGAUGUACCGGGGCGAGUGGUCGCAUGGCUUCAAAGGCCGCUACGGCGUGCGCCAGAGCCUCGCCAGCCCUGCCCGCUACGAGGGCACCUGGAGCAACGGGCUGCAGGACGGUUACGGCGUCGAGACCUACGGGGACGGAGGUACAUACCAGGGACAAUGGACAGGAGGGAUGAGACACGGCUAUGGUAUGCGGCAAAGUGUUCCUUAUGGCAUGGCGACUGUGAUCCGUUCACCCCUCCGGACAUCUCUAGCUUCACUCCGUAGCGAGCAGAGCAAUGGUACUGUUCUACAUGAUAUCACAGCAGACAGUCCUGCUGGAACUAGAGGAGGGUUUGUGUUGAAUUUUCACAGUGAUCCCGAUAGUGUUGGUAGUAAGAAAAAAGGAGGCCUGUUCAGAAGAGGAUCUCUUCUUGGUAGUAUAAAACUUAGAAAAUCUGAAUCAAAGUCAUCAAUAUCUAGCAAACGUAGCUCUGUCAGGAGUGAUGCUGCCAUGAGCAGGAUUAGUUCUAGUGAUGCCAAUUCUACCAUUAGUUUUGGAGAUAUGGACUGUGAUUAUUCUCCAGUAGAAGACCAUGUUGAUGCUACCACCACAGAAACCUAUAUGGGUGAAUGGAAGAAUGACAAGCGUAAUGGCUUUGGUAUUAGUGAGCGUUCAAAUGGUAUGAAAUACGAAGGCGAGUGGCUAAACAACAAGAGACAUGGGUAUGGAUGUACUAUGCUUCCAGAUGGCACCAAGGAAGAGGGAAAGUAUAAAAACAAUGUUUUGGUCCGUGGAAUAAGGAAGCAGCUUAUACCAAUAAGGAACACAAAAACUAAAGAAAAGGUGGAGAGAGCACUUGAAGGUGCCCAGCGUGCAGCUGCCAUGGCUAGAACUAAAGUAGAAAUUGCAACCUCCAGAAGUAGAGAUUCCUGUGUGGUGCUGAAAGAUCCUCAACAAUUGACUUCUUUGUUUUCCAUUGAGCUGUACCACCCUGGCAACAAGUCUGCGAAUGAAUAAAUUCUUUGAUCCACAAGAUCCAUACAUGCAUCCAACAUGCUGUCAAAUUGGCAAUCCCUCUACUACAGGGCUGUUAAACUUGCGGGCCAGAUGGGUCACACGCUGACCACGCCUACGCCUGGUAUAGCGAAGGGGGGGAACGUCCUGAUACAUCAUAUGAUGCCGCCGUGAUGCCACGAGUUUUACACCGCUCUUCUACUACCAGGGAUCUCUUGCUUUAUUCUUUCAUUUAAAUUCUUCUUUACUAAAAUGUUAAUUUUAUUCAACUUCAGCACUAUUACUAGAUAUAACUUCUAUACAGGAGUGAAAUCUACUUACCUUCCCUACUGGUUCAGAAGGGCACAUGAUGUGUGUGUGUGCUUUACACACACAUGCCGACCCUCUGCGCAUGCGCAAACCCUUCUGCACAUGAGCAGAGGGUAAAAAACAGAUUACUGGGUAGGUGGGCGGAGCCUUGAGCUACCAUUGCUAUCAGUUCUCUGAACCACCAACCGUCAUCACUACCAGUUUGGCCAAACCGGGAGCAUUUCUGUUGUGACUCCAGCCCCCGAACCUGGCCCCAUGCCCGGAAGUAACUUGGAGCCAGGCCUGCUGUCAGAAAGUGACUUGGACAGUGAGGGGGAAAGGCUGUCAGGACUUACCUUGGGAGCACCGGCUUCCCUGGCUCAGUUCCAGGAGCCAGAAGCAGGCCAGGUGGAAGAAAUAAUGAGGCCUAGGAAGUGCUGAGUCAUGGAGCCACACCCCACAGGAUAUAAAAGGCAGUGAGAGCUGGUGUGUUUCUUUGUAACAGGCAAAUCCACUGAUUGACUAGAGCUGAAGUUUGUGACUCACCAGCGUCGUGGAAAAUAACGAGGACUCUUGGCAGACGCUGGCUGCCAGAACUGAUAGUGCCGGCUAAUUAAGCCAUCAUUCGGACAGAGGCAAGGAGGACAGAACAAUUUCACCCCUGCUUCUAUAUCAUGCUUAAAUCACAUUAACCAAGCUGAGUUUCUUUUAAGUAUAGAAGGCUUAUGUAAAAUGCAUUAAUUGGUUUAUUAGAUUGCGAUAAUAUGUGACAUAUGCUGGGAAAGGGACAGAAAUAGUUUAGUCUGUUGCUCCUGUUUGAUCUCACAACAAGUUUUAAUAUCAUCAUUGUUAGUCCUUUGAGAUAGGCCAUAUCAGGGAAUCAAUUCCACAAGCUUGACUGGAACUACUAUAUGUUUAUUGAUAUAGACAAUUGUAGUUGCUGUCUCUGCAUAGUUUCUUUAAGGUCAUCUCUAAAACUUUCACCACGGUAUUUUCCUGGUUUGGCUCCGGAGAUUUUGAAUAUUUGUAGCAUUUUUAUGUAUUUAACUUCAGAUAGAGCUAUUUCCAAAAAAUAGUAUUGGAAGAUUAUAGGCCAGUCCCUAACAAUUGUUAUGUGAGACAGACCAAAAAAAUGCAUUGUCUUCAAUGGAAUUUCAUAUCUGUAAAAACUAGUGAGGUUACUAAAGAAUUCCUGAAAGAUAUCUCAUACUAUAUUUUUAUAAUAUAGGAAUUCUAGAAGGCUGUGCAUGGUUUUGAGUCCUGUGGUGGAUUGGAUAAAAUUUACUAAUCUAAAAUGAAUUUUAGAUUAGUAGAGUAAUCUAGGAGUAGGGCCUUCUCUGUUGGAGCAUCGACGCUCUGGAAUGAACUUCCCCCUGGCCUACGUCAAGUGCCUGAUCUUCGGACCUUCCGUCGUGAGCUAAAAACAUAUUUAUUUAUUCAAGCGGGACUGGCAUAAUGGUUUUAAUAGUUUUAAUCUUAAACUGGGGUUUUUAUUGGGUUUUCUAAAUUCUUUUAUAAUUUUAAAUUUAAACUUUUAAUUAUCAGCCUUUUGUAAUUUGCUAGGUUUUAAUUGUUGGUUUUAAUUGUAUAUGUCUUGUGUUUUAUCUUUGGCUGUACACCGCCCUGAGUCCUUCGGGAGAAGGGCGGUAUAAAAAUUUAAUAAAUAAUAAAUAAUAAUAAUAAUUUCAUAAGGCAGAAAAGUUGGGAUUGCAUUGCUCUAGACACUGAGCCCAGGUGACACCUUUCCUUGUUGGUUUUAUUUUAACUGCUAUAUAGAAAUGGACCAGAAGACAUUUGUUGGGUCAUGUGAAGAAUUUUCAGGACAUCUAGGCAAUAAAAUGGCUCACAGUUGGACAUCAGUUGAGCAGGACUAACAAGAUGAUGUGGGCUACCUCUUGCAGGUUUCAAGGAUGAAUUUUAAUCUCAGUCCUGAAGAAGUGGGCAAAGUUCUCUGCUAUUUUGAAGCUUAGAUCCCUGUUCUUCAUGGUUGUUGAAAGCCUUUAGGAGAUAGGAGGCUGAGUUUGGGUGAUAGUAAAUGGUUCUCUGAAGAUGUACUUUUGUCUGCCUGACCACUUCAAUUGUUAUGUAUCAGCGGAAAAGAAAUGCUGUACUAACUGCAUACCAGAACAGAUUUCUAAACUUUGUCAUUUCCCUCUAACUUUUUUUUUUUCAGAACUAAAAGCUAAACAUCUGGAGCCUGUGGUCUUCCAAAUUUUGCUAAAGUAGAUUUCCCAGCACAUUAUUGAUUAUUUGAGCUAGAAAGUUGUCAUUCAUCAAAUCUGGAGGGUCAUAGAACUGCACAUGCAAGAGCUAAAGCAGAUGCUGCAGAACAAGCCUCUCAGUCUGCUCGUCAGGAAUGUGAUGUUGCUAGAGCAGUUGCCAGAGAACUAUCUCCGGG
Ahaetulla prasina is the source of this 4297-nucleotide RNA transcript. It is a transcript of the gene named junctophilin 1, with no coding region annotated. The transcript is spliced from 4 exons. The record is from RefSeq and is a predicted model, not a curated record. NCBI's taxonomy places the organism in Eukaryota, Metazoa, Chordata, Lepidosauria, Squamata, Colubridae.